Molecule: ribosomal RNA, 468 nt
Filed under: uncultured bacterium
Lineage: Bacteria
Description: partial 16S ribosomal RNA
Rfam family: Bacterial small subunit ribosomal RNA
Source: RNAcentral
GACAAACGCUGGCGGCGUGCUUAACACAUGCAAGUCGAACGGAAAGGCCCUGCUUUUGUGGGGUGCUCGAGUGGCGAACGGGUGAGUAACACGUGAGUAACCUGCCCUUGACUUUGGGAUAACUUCAGGAAACUGGGGCUAAUACCGGAUAGGAGCUCCUGCCGCAUGGUGGGGGUUGGAAAGUUUCGGCGGUUGGGGAUGGACUCGCGGCUUAUCAGCUUGUUGGUGGGGUAGUGGCUUACCAAGGCUUUGACGGGUAGCCGGCCUGAGAGGGUGACCGGCCACAUUGGGACUGAGAUACGGCCCAGACUCCUACGGGAGGCAGCAGUGGGGAAUAUUGCACAAUGGGCGGAAGCCUGAUGCAGCAACGCCGCGUGCGGGAUGACGGCCUUCGGGUUGUAAACCGCUUUCGCCUGUGACGAAGCGUGAGUGACGGUAAUGGGUAAAGAAGCACCGGCUAACUACGUG